UCACAGCUUGUUAUCUUCAUCGUCCCAACACAUCUGCCUCCAGCCCUACCACUGAAAGUUGAUCUCAAGUAAAGGCCAGUGCUGUGACCAUGUACAUCCAUAAAGCACUUCUGUACUCUCUUCUUCAGGAUCUCUAAACAAUAUCAGUGUAGAAACAGAAGGUUCCUGCUUGUGGUUUGUCCUACAUUACAAGAUAGAUCUGACUGAAUGAAUGCAUUCCUAUGGAACAACUUCACCAAAAAAAAGAGUCACUGACCCCAGCUGAAUGGACUGUUGCCAGAGAAGGUAAUAUAAUAUAAUUCCAAGGCAUAUAAUACCUAUUACAAUGCAAUAUGUAUAAUUGUGGUUAAAAUACUGUAUGUAUGUGUAUAUAGCACAUUAUAUAAUGGUAUUAUAGUAUUUUGAAAUUGCUUAACAU
Anas platyrhynchos (mallard) is the source of this 418-nucleotide non-coding RNA. The record is from RefSeq and is a predicted model, not a curated record. NCBI's taxonomy places the organism in Eukaryota, Metazoa, Chordata, Aves, Anseriformes, Anatidae.